This 247-nucleotide ribosomal RNA is filed under the name uncultured bacterium. Its description in RNAcentral is "partial 16S ribosomal RNA". It matches the Rfam family "Bacterial small subunit ribosomal RNA", at positions 523 to 769 of the family's 1533-position model. The record is from RNAcentral.
AUACGGAGGAUCCAAGCGUUAUCCGGAUUUAUUGGGUUUAAAGGGUGCGUAGGCGGCACUUUAAGUCAGUGGUGAAAGACGGCAGCUUAACUGUCGCAGUGCCUUUGAUACUGAAGUGCUUGAAUGCGGAUGAAGACGGCGGAAUGAGACAAGUAGCGGUGAAAUGCAUAGAUAUGUCUCAGAACACCGAUUGCGAAGGCAGCUGUCUAAGCCGUUAUUGACGCUGAUGCACGAAAGCGUGGGGAUC